Molecule: long non-coding RNA, 4225 nt
Organism: Nomascus leucogenys (northern white-cheeked gibbon)
Lineage: Eukaryota; Metazoa; Chordata; Mammalia; Primates; Hylobatidae
Exons: 2
Source: RefSeq, a predicted model, not a curated record
GGACAUGAAGAAAUGGCAAGAUAAGCCUCUCAGAAGGGGCCCUAGCAACACUUUUCACACCAGUCAACAGUAUCUCCUUCCCCAUUUCAGUGACUCUCAAACUGUCACUGUACACCAAAUGUACCUGGGAAUCUCAAUUCCAGAGAUUCUCACUUGGGGUGGGGCAAAGUAUUGGCAAGAAUCUGCAAGCUGAACAGGUGCCUCAGGUGAUUUUGAUACAGGUCUUGGAGAUCCAGAAACGUUGGCAACAUCUAUUUCUAUCCUGCCUAUCUCUGUACCCUAACCCCAAAUAACUCAAUCCCUUUAGAAAACAGGUGGAUGUCUGAAAGGCAGCCAGUGCUCUUGGUCUACUUAGCCCUCUGUUCCUGACUCUAAAAUGCUGUAAAUAUGGUGGCAUUGGGGGACUUAGGUGCUGUCCUGUCCAUGAAUAUGGACGUGAAAUCCUGUCCUUGGGUCUCAGACUAUAACCUGACCAAUCUCCUUAGGGGACCUCUAGGCAUGCUUCCCUUAUUAUCCAAGUAAGCAACAUGCUUAGAGAACCAGCUGGAAGUUACCCAGUGAAUGACAUGGUUGAGGCUUACACACCAUCAUGCUCGACUCUCAGCCCAGGACUCUGCUCUGCACUAGGCUGCGUCCCCCAAGGACUCAAGACAUAGCCAACGAAGGAAUCAGGGAAAUGACUAUCUUACACAGGCACAUCCCUGACAGAGGCAAAGGUGUCAUGAGAUCCUGUAAGUCGGCCUGGUUCAAAUCCUGCUUCUUAGUGACUUUGGGCAAGGUACUGAACUUCUCUGUGCUUCAGUGUCUAUCUCUAAAAUGCACCUAUCUUAUGGGGUUGUGGUGAAGACUAAAUGAGACAAUAUGUGUAACAAACUUAGCACAGUGUUUGCCACAAAAUACAGUUGUCCCUCAGUAUCCACAGGGGAUUUGUUUCAGGACCCCCGUGGAUACCAAAAUCCAAGGAUGCUCAAGUCCCUUAUAUAAAAAUGACAUAGUAUUUGCAUAUAACCAAUGUACAACUUCCCAUAUACUUGAAAUGAUCUUAGAUUACUUAUACCUAAUACAAUAUAAAUGCUAUGUAAAUAGUUGUUAUACAAUAUUUUUUAUUUGUAUUAUUUUUUGUUGUUCUAUUUUUUUUUUCCUGAAUACUUUUUAUUGCAGUUGGUUUAAUCUGUGGAUGAGGGCCGACUAUAAGCCUCUGUAAGUGUUAGCUAUUGUUAUUAUUCUCUUCCUCUCUCUAAGGGGUUCCCCAGCCCUGGAUCUGCCCUACUUCGCCUUGUGAAGGCCCCACAGCUUGCUUACCUCAGCAACUCACAGCGGAAGUGUGACAAACGUUCAUAGGCAAAUGUCUGGUCAGAUGUCAACUUGUUGCUCCACAGCCUUUCGGCAACAGCCCCUGCUCUGGGCCUGGAGGAAAGGGGGCAUGUGCCAGAUUGGGCUCUGUAUUCCCUGCAAAGGUGCUGGACAUCCACAGGCUGCUACCUCUUGUCUAGGCACCCUGGACUAGCUCAGGCCAAAGGAAGUGAUCAAUACCUUGUUAUGAGCCACAGCCAGGUUGGAUGGCUCCCAGAGAGUUCUAGGGCUCAGCACCACCUUCAUUAAAAUGUGGGUAGCAAUCCCACUCUCUUCCUCUCUCAAAGAUAUGGGAAUAAGAAUAAACCUUAAAGGCAUCAUUAACCACAAUGACAGUGGCAGCAGCAGAGGUCCUUAAAAUGUAAACUCUGCACACCCAACCAUACUUGGUAAGGCUGCAGUGAAAACAGUAGAGGGAAGCCUUAUUACAGGAAUCAUGGAUGCUUGUGCUGGAUCUUAAGCAACUCACCUAUGUUCUCCAGGCCUCAUUAUCUCUCUGGGAAGUGAGGUUAACAAUCCCUAUCCCACAUACCAAAGGGCGGCUGGAGAGAUAUAGAUGGAAGUCAUGUGGAGAGUGAAUAUUGCACACAAAUCUUCAGAAGGCUCGUUGCACGGCCUGCUCUCUCUCAGGCCUGAAAGAAGGGUACUAGUCCAGAGGUGGCUAGAUGGGAUUGGGUCUGUAAGGGAGAACCCCUGCUCUCAGGCCCAACCCUCCACCUCCCCCCCAAAAACCCUUACCAGAGCCUGGGGACCAGGUUUGUGUUGUCCACAUAUUCUCCCCACAUACAAGCCUCUCCACCAAUCACCAGAGCCUUCUGCUCAGGGGUACCUGAGGGAAAACAAGCAACAACAGUCUGGUGAUGGUGGGGUAACUCUAGGGUCCCUCUCAACCACCUUCCCAAUGUGUCCCUCACCCCAGCUAAGUUGUUUCAUUUACUAACUGAAAAUGUCUGGCCCAGACCUCCCUGCCUCCCAUCCUGUGCCCCAGCCCAGCCUCCUUUGGUUAGCAAGGAGAGCUCUCUGCUUUCACCUUCAAAUGCCAGGGGUUCCACUACGUAGAAAUCCUUCCAGUCAGGGCCGUAGGAUAUACGAUUCAGGUACCAGGGGGCGGAGAGAAGGGCCCGGAAGCCAGCCUUGGUGACCAGUUCCAGCUCCUUCAUAUAGUUCACUGGAGUAUCUUCUCGCCACACCUGUAUGAUUGUGUCUGGCCGAAUCUGUUAUAAAAGGUCAAAUGGCAGUAAGGACACAAAGCUGAGGAGAUUCCUGGGCCUUAUUCAUACACAGGCAACAUGGGACAACAGAUUCUACCCUGGUGGUCAGAUUCCUCGGCAUCCACUCUAGGCACAACUACCUGCAAUGGCAUCUGAGAAAAAUGUGCCCUUACAUAGUCUAACAGUACAUAUUUUAAUAGUAAGAAGCAGCCUCCAUUGUCCAAAGUGAGUUCUUCCUAUCUAAAUUCCCAGGUGGAAGAAGUCAAUGGAAAACAUUCUUCCAAGGACCAAGACUGGGAUAUGCCACUUCCAUGAGCCAGUGCCCUGAAGCUUCACUCUGAGCAUAAUAAGCAGAGUCCCUCUGGUCCCAGACAUCAUUCUUACCUGGUCCCCAGGACAAAGUGUGGCCAGGAGUGUCAAACUCUGCAAGCACGCGGAUACCCCGGAGCCGUGCGUAUUCAAUGACCUCCUUCACAUCCUGUGCUGUGUAGAUGUGGGUGACAGGGUUGUAGGACCCCUGAAAGGCACAAGACACCCUUCAGGUUCACAUUUCCGAAAGCUAGCAGAGUAGAAGAUACUCAAAAUGCCCACAAGACUCCCCAGAUAUCAGAAAACCUGCCCAUAGCCCUUUGGUGUCAGGGACUAUUUUCAAAAAACUUGAUCAUUCAAUUUCCCAGAAGUUAUCACAUCUGUUUUAUCUGAGUAUCAUAAUGCCAGUGAGAUAAUCAUGGUAGGUAUUAAUAUUAUGUCCAUUUAACAGAAUAUAAAUACAUAAAAAGGGAAUAAGGCCAGAAGAGAUUCUCUCCUGAAGGUCACAAGGCAAAUUAUUGGCAAAGUUUUGGACUUGAACUCAAGUCUCCUGACUCCAAAUCCAGUGUCCUUCCCCUAUAUUGGUCUAAAACUGGCUGGUUAGGAUGAGAGACCCUGUUCUUGCCAGCAGGGCCACAGCCAGAUUCAGACAUUGACCCAUAAACUUGGUCAGAGUGAAAUGGGGACAUACCUUUCUCAUGAGCUCUGGAAAAGUGAAGCUCUCAUAUGGGAAGGAAGGAUCAUCUACCAGAUGCCAGUGGAACACGUUCAAUUUAUUGUACGCCAUGACAUCCUGUAGGUUAAAGUGCACACUGUGAACUCAUCACAGUCUCUCCAGUUUCAGCCUCAAACUUGCGAUGUUGGGCAGGCUCUCAGGCUGCUCCACACACCCCUACAGGCUUGACCUGCCUCAGCUCUCAAUUAAAUGUUUAUGGGGUCUAUUAAACCUUCCCAUCAGGGAGGGAUGACAUGGAGGGAAGGUCCAGCACACUUCUACUUUUCCCAGAACACAUCCAAAGAUGGAUGACAGAAGUGGUCUUUCCUCUUUUUGAAAUAAAUUCUGGCUACAUUAAGAGGAGGGCUGCAGCUACUGUGGUAGCCUGGAAUCUUCCAAAAGCCUGAAGAUAACACUUCCUCUUGCCAUUUGUGUUGGGUUGUCUGACUGAUGUUAAGCCCAACUGUGAGACCUCCUGGGAACUUAGUAGCCUCUUAACUCAUAAUCUCAGAAGCCAAGGCUGGCAGAUGUGUCACCUCCUUUGGUUCCGUCACAGGAGCAAAGGAAAAGGCAGACACAGGAACUGGAUCAGGAACUGUCAGAUAAGACUGCACAUUAAACUCAAGAGAGUUAGGAA